GGGGAUAGUGAUCCAUUUACUGUUCUUACCUUUCACUGUCUCUUCACAUUCUCUUGUAGUUUCAUAUUAACUACAGAUACUCCCCUCUUAAUUCAGUUAGAUAUUUAAGUUAACUAAUGCAUGGCUAAUGUCAAGGGAAGCCCUGGGGCAAUAGAGGAAGAAACAUACCACCGUCUCAUUUCCCCAGAAACCUCACCUCAACUGUACAAAACAAAGAUGAUACUAAGGGCAGAAUGUGGGAAAGAGAGGAGGGUCUGAGGAGCCAAAAGAGCGUUGCAAAAAAUCCUAUGCAUUAACUUAUUCUUUACACAAAAUAGACUUCUUCAAAGCUUUUCAGUGACCUAAUAAGCUUGACUGUCUGGUUUUCCAGACCCUUACCGUUUAGAAAGAACUCCACAGGACUAAGCGAGGAAAGGUGUCAAGAGACCUUCAAUAUCUCUGCAAAGCAUCACUUUACACUCUCAUUUCAAGGACUGCAGGGGGGCUGCUGCUCCCCAAUCUUGACAGCAGCAUGUACAAAUAACACUUAGCACAUGCCACCUCCUGUACUGACUCACCUUUAUGUUACCUUCUGCCGAACCUGUAGUAAAAUAUUCCUCACAGGGAUCCAGAGCCAGAGCCUUAAUAGCUGAGUCAUGUGCCUGGAAGGUGUGAAUCAGUUGUCUUUGCCUGAUGUCAAAAAUGCAGACAUAGCCUUUCCUGCCUCCAGAGAUGAGGAGUUGCUGUUUUGGCGCAUACUGGAGUACCGUGGCACCAUGAUCGUGGCAUGUGAAGCCUGAAGGAGGAAACAUAAGAAGUCUUCCCAAAUAAUUUCUAUCCUGACAAUUCUGAGACCCUCUGCUGGUAGAAAACUUGAAGAGAACACACAGCGUGGACUGCUGAUCCCAAGAACACAGAGAUUAAGAGGCAGAAAGAGGGAGAAGCUUAAAGAAGACAGAAACCUGAAAGGACAGGUCUGAUCCUGAAGAACAAGACUGAGGGUCCCAGCAGUCUAGACCCCUGGCUUCCCACUGUAUUCCAAAGCUCUGACAAUCCAACCAAAUCACUGCUACAAACCUUAUGAAUAAUUAAAGUAUAUUUUCAAUGA
Canis lupus familiaris (dog) is the source of this 1087-nucleotide long non-coding RNA. RefSeq lists it as uncharacterized. Lineage: Eukaryota; Metazoa; Chordata; Mammalia; Carnivora; Canidae. The transcript has 2 exons. The record is from RefSeq and is a predicted model, not a curated record.